UUUUUUUUUUUCCGAACUGAGGAUUGGGGUUCUUUAUUUGCCUUUCUCUUCCAGCGUCCUUCUUCCUUCUUCCUUCUUUCUUCUUGGUCCAUAGUUAAUCUUUGGCGCUCAGAUUAUUUGCUUCUUCUUUUUCUUCUUCUUUUGUUGUCAUUUUUCUUCUUUCUCUAUCUUUUACUUCCUCAUCUCUCCUCCAGUCGCUCUCACCCUCAAAAACCAGAUCGAAAAACAUACCAAACACCAAACAACCAAAUCUGAAUCGUACCUUCGCCAUCCUUCUCUCUCAGCCUCUCACAUCCUGCUUCAUUUCCUAUGAAACCAAUCUUGGCCCAAAAUCCGUAAUACCCAAAUCAAAAAACCUAACACCUCAGCCCCAAAUACCUCCUCCAAUCUCACGUGCUCUCUCGACUUCUUGCUUAGCAAUCAGUUGCUUGUCACACUCGAUUUCUGUUGAGCAAUCGAAAUCUUGUCGCUCAUUAGAGCUGGUUAUGGCGAAAGUGAUCCGUAUCCCUCACGCUCAGUUAAGAGUGAAGCAUAUGAUAUUCAAGAACUAGCCGACACGUUGCAGAUUGGGUCCAAAUUCUAUGUAAUUGGAAUCUCAAUGGGGGCUUACCCUGUUUGGGGUUGCUUGAAAUACAUACCGCACAUGCAUGGUACUUACUUGAA
Rosa rugosa (rugosa rose) is the source of this 663-nucleotide long non-coding RNA. RefSeq lists it as uncharacterized. The transcript is spliced from 2 exons. The record is from RefSeq and is a predicted model, not a curated record. NCBI's taxonomy places the organism in Eukaryota, Viridiplantae, Streptophyta, Magnoliopsida, Rosales, Rosaceae.